Myotis lucifugus (little brown bat) is the source of this 125-nucleotide non-coding RNA. The record is from Rfam. Lineage: Eukaryota; Metazoa; Chordata; Mammalia; Chiroptera; Vespertilionidae.
CAUGCACCGGUGGGGUCCCUCAGCCUGGCCUGCACCCUCUUGCAAUCCGGGAUCCCUAGGGGAUGUCGGAGAACCUGUUUCAGCCUGAUCCCACAGGCCAGGCUGAGGGACCCCACUGGUGCACG